AAUGAACGCUGGCGGCGUGCCUAAUACAUGCAAGUCGUGCGGCAGCAUGCCCUUCGGGGUGAUGGCGAGCGGCGGACGGCUGAGUAACGCGUAGGAAUCUACCCCAAAGUGAGGGAUAACCUCGAGAAAUCGAGGCUAAUACCGCAUAUGGUCUUCGGAUUAAAGGAUUUAUCCGCUUUGGGAAGAGCCUGCGUAAGAUU
Molecule: ribosomal RNA, 200 nt
Filed under: uncultured bacterium
Lineage: Bacteria
Description: partial 16S ribosomal RNA
Rfam family: Bacterial small subunit ribosomal RNA
Source: RNAcentral